This 440-nucleotide long non-coding RNA is filed under the name Mytilus galloprovincialis (Mediterranean mussel). The record is from RNAcentral. Lineage: Eukaryota; Metazoa; Mollusca; Bivalvia; Mytilida; Mytilidae.
CUGAAAUGUCUCGCCUUCUUUACUAUUCAUUGAUAUAAUGUAAUUUAUGUUGAUAGUCCUAAAUAUAAAGCUUUAUUACAACUGUCACAUAAACUUAACACAAACCAAGAAAAUUAAACAUUGACCUUUGAACCAUAAAAAUGAUAUCAUGGUCAGAUGAACCAUGCCAGGCAGGCAUGUACAGCUAACAAUUCUUCCAUACAACACAUUUAAUUAACCUAUUGCUUAUAGUAAGAAAAACAGACCAAAACACAAAAAACUUAACUUUGACCACUGAACCAUGAAAAUGAGGUGAAUGUCAGAUGACACCUGCCAGCUAGACAUGUUUACCUUACAGUUAUCCCAUACAAAAAUUAUUAGAACUAAAACUCAAAACCUUAACUUUGACCAUUGAACCAUGAAAAUGAGGCCAAGGUCAGAUGACACCUGCCAGCUAGAUA